GACGAACGCUGGCGGCGUGCUUAACACAUGCGAGUCGAACGGAAAGGCCCUGCUUUUGUGGGGUGCUCGAGUGGCGAACGGGUGAGUAACACGUGAGUAACCUGCCCUUGACUUUGGGAUAACUUCAGGAAACUGGGGCUAAUACCGGAUAGGAGCUCCUGCUGCAUGGUGGGGGUUGGAAAGUUUCGGCGGUUGGGGAUGGACUCGCGGCUUAUCAGCUUGUUGGUGGGGUAGUGGCUUACCAAGGCUUUGACGGGUAGCCGGCCUGAGAGGGUGGCCGGCCACAUUGGGACUGAGAUACGGCCCAGACUCCUACGGGAGGCAGCAGUGGGGAAUAUUGCACAAUGGGCGGAAGCCUGAUGCAGCAACGCCGCGUGCGGGAUGACGGCCUUCGGGUUGUAAACCGCUUUCGCCUGUGACGAAGCGUGAGUGACGGUAAUGGGUAAAGAAGCACCGGCUAACUACGUG
Molecule: ribosomal RNA, 468 nt
Filed under: uncultured bacterium
Lineage: Bacteria
Description: partial 16S ribosomal RNA
Rfam family: Bacterial small subunit ribosomal RNA
Source: RNAcentral